This 468-nucleotide ribosomal RNA is filed under the name uncultured bacterium. Its description in RNAcentral is "partial 16S ribosomal RNA". It matches the Rfam family "Bacterial small subunit ribosomal RNA", at positions 28 to 507 of the family's 1533-position model. The record is from RNAcentral.
GACGAACGCUGGCGGCGUGCUUAACACAUGCAAGUCGAACGGAAAGACCCUGCUUUUGUGGGGUGCUCGAGUGGCGAACGGGUGAGUAACACGUGAGUAACCUGCCCUUGACUUUGGGAUAACUUCAGGAAACUGGGGCUAAUACCGGAUAGGAGCUCCUGCCGCAUGGUGGGGGUUGGAAAGUUUCGGCGGUUGGGGAUGGACUCGCGGCUUAUCAGCUUGUUGGUGGGGUAGUGGCUUACCAAGGCUUUGACGGGUAGCCGGCCUGAGAGGGUGACCGGCCACAUUGGGACUGAGAUACGGCCCAGACUCCUACGGGAGGCAGCAGUGGGGAAUAUUGCACAAUGGGCGGAAGCCUGAUGCAGCAACGCCGCGUGCGGGAUGACGGCCUUCGGGUUGUAAACCGCUUUCGCCUGUGACGAAGCGUGAGUGGCGGUAAUGGGUAAAGAAGCACCGGCUAACUACGUG